RNAcentral lists this small RNA (463 nucleotides) under Histoplasma ohiense. RNAcentral's name for it is "hypothetical lncRNA". Lineage: Eukaryota; Fungi; Ascomycota; Eurotiomycetes; Onygenales; Ajellomycetaceae. The record is from RNAcentral.
UUUCUUGAUCAUUGUGCUAGUGAUUAUAUAAUGUAGUUUCUGAUCUUUUGUCAGUCUUUUUCUGUCACUGUGCUUCUGACUCAAUUGAAUUUCAGUCCUUGGAUUGAUUCUUGCAUGGAGACAGUUUUUAACUGAAGUACUUACAUCUCUAUUCUUUGGUGAGCUACAUGAGUGGCAAAAAGAAUGCUGACUAAUCUUGCUGAUAACUCUAAAUUAUCUAGUCUCAGAUAUGAUGAGUUUCUGCAAAUGACAAUGGGUUGCUGUAUCAUUAUUGCUUGAGAUUGAUAUCAACUGCUAUCACAAUUGCCAUUAUUACUGAAUUAUUACUAAUUACUCAAUAUUCUAGAAGAUGAUGUUGAGUUUUCAAUGAUAUCACAUGAUCAAUAGAUCUUCUCACUUGAAUCUGAAUGAGAUCUUACAGCGCAGGUAAUUUUUAUGUUGUUAUAAUUGCAACGAUAUUAGC